Rhincodon typus (whale shark) is the source of this 1412-nucleotide long non-coding RNA. RefSeq lists it as uncharacterized. Lineage: Eukaryota; Metazoa; Chordata; Chondrichthyes; Orectolobiformes; Rhincodontidae. The transcript has 3 exons. The record is from RefSeq and is a predicted model, not a curated record.
GAUUGCAGAUGGCGGAAGUGUCGGAGGAUGAUGCGUUGGAUCCGGAUAAAAUUCAGCGGUUCUGAGCAGAAGGCUACGUCUGACGUGUGAAAUGCUGAGGGUGACAAGUGAAGCUGUGCAUAAGAAAGCUGAACCCAGAGCGAAAUACAGGAGGGUGCAAUUGUCCAGCAGAUUGUCAGUUUGCCAGUGAGAGAGAUGAGCGAGCAGUACCUUGGCUCGGUGACGUGAUGGGAAACAGCAAGGCUGCCAGACAAUUGCCCACUUGACAAAGGUGACAAACUUUCUAGAGCAAUGCCUUGCACUCUGGGAAUGGCUCUGAUAGCCAUAGUGUAAUGGUGAGUGUGCCGGUUACCGAACCCUGUGAUACGAGUUUAAAUCUAGGUGUAGCCUGCUACCUGGUGAAGGGAGUGACGAGUCUUGGCAAGUCUAGUAUUGGUCAUUACAAAACCGAGACUUGAAGUGGGCUUAUUUUUACAUCGCACGCUGUCUGCUUUUGCUCUCCCCUCAUGCUAGGGACGUGUUUCCUUCGAAGGGCACUGCAGCCAGACUGCAGCUUUCGUCUACCGGAGCGUAGAAAGUGAACUGCAUGUUUGAAUGCAGGACAUACCAUUGUGUCCUCUGAGCGAAAGCAGUGCAGUCGGUUCCAUGGUGUAAUGGUUAGCACUCUGGGCUUUGAAUCCAGGGAUCUGAGUCCGAAUCUCAGUGGGAUCUCUAAUUGGUGCGUCCCUACGAAUUGUUUAAUUUGGGACACGACAGUGAAAUCUGCUUACGGGCCAAGUCUAAGGCUGGACCUUUUAGCACCGCCACAUCAGAUCUCAUCACAUUUCUGUCAGAGCAGUAAGCACAGCACGAUCCAAACCCUGGCGUGGAGAAUUUAGGUCGGUGCCUGAGAGUGGAAGUCACUGUGGUUUUUAUUUGAGCUGCCCUCAGUUCUCGACACAGCAGGAAACAAAGAGACACGCUUGGGAACGAGUGCUGCAAAGGUGCUGUUAAAGACAAUCUGAAACCAGAGCCCGAAAUACCGGAGGGUGCAAUUGUCCAGCAGAUUGUCAGUUUGCAGAUCAGAGAGAUGAGCGAGCAGUACCCCGGCUUGGUAACGUGAUGGGAAACAGCAAGGCUGCUAGACAACUGCACAUUUGACAAAGGACUACACAGUUCCACAGGAUGCACACUGAGACAAACAUCAACUGUGGCUGGAAGACCAUCAACUCAGUGGAAGAUGCUCUUUGGUCUGCCCGAACCUUGGUCUUCCAGAAUAAGGAGUUGGCCCUGAUUGAAUGUUGCAGACUGGCACAUUCCAUGGUACAAGGUUCUGAGGGACGCAGCACAGCUUGGGGCAGCCACCACCAAGGAGCAGUGGGGAAAGACCACUGACUGAGAUCUUCCUGCUGAAGAUGACAUGAAAAUUUGGA